Molecule: ribosomal RNA, 253 nt
Filed under: uncultured bacterium
Lineage: Bacteria
Description: partial 16S ribosomal RNA
Rfam family: Bacterial small subunit ribosomal RNA
Source: RNAcentral
UACGGCGGGCGCGAGCGUUACCGGGAUUUAAUGGGCGUAAAGGGCGUGUGGGCGGCCUGGGGCGUCCCAUGUGAAAGGCCACGGCUCAACCGUGGAGGAGCGUGGUAUACGCUCAGGCUAGACGGUGGGAGAGGGUGGUUGAAUUCCCGGAAUAGCGGUGAAAUGCGCAGAUACCGGGAGGAACGCCGAUGGCGAAGGCAGCCACCUUGUCCACAUGUGACGCUGAGGCGCCAACGCGUGGGGAGCAAAUCGG